This 253-nucleotide ribosomal RNA is filed under the name uncultured bacterium. Its description in RNAcentral is "partial 16S ribosomal RNA". It matches the Rfam family "Bacterial small subunit ribosomal RNA", at positions 524 to 776 of the family's 1533-position model. The record is from RNAcentral.
UACAGAGGUCUCGAGCGUUAGGCGGAAUCACUGGGCUUAAAGCGUGUGUAGGCGGAUCGUUAAGUGCCUUGUGAAAUCCCACGGCUCAACCGUGGAACUGCUUGGCAUACUGGCGGUCUUGAGCAACCUAGGGGCGAGCGGAACAAAUGGUGGAGCGGUGAAAUGCGUAGAUAUCAGGAGGAACACCGGUGGCGAAGGCAGCUCGCUGGGACGGUACUGACGCUGAGACGCGAAAGCGUGGGGAGCAAACAGG